GGGUGGGGGGCUGGGGAAGGAAGCUGAAGAUGGGAAGCAAAAGACACCCAAAAAAGAAAAGACAGACUGAGGCAGAUGGUAAGAGAAUUGCCCAAGGCCAGGUAAACAUCAAUCCAUGCAAAGAAAAAUGGUGCUUCUAACCCAAAAAUGAGGAUACAGAAUCCUGUUAUCAAUUGCUUAGAAAAGAGAGCUAUUUGAGCAGGGAGGGGUUUGACAAAAGAGAGGAGGGACUGGGAAUCUAAAAAAAAAAAAAAAAAAAAAGUUCCUGGUCACCAUUUACAGUGUCUCUGCAGGGAAGAUUGGAGACUCUAGAGAAAAAAAAAACGAGUGCAGGAAAAAGUGCCUUCACAGAGCAGGUAAGAGGAGGCUGCUCAGAUUUAUGGAUUUUAUUAAGCCAGUUUUCUGAACUGCUCUGCUCUAAAGGAAAAUCGCCUCUGGCCAGCUGUCUGCCCUCCUUCAGGUGAGGAAGGAAGUUGGGGGGGGGCGGGGGCCGCUGGAGUUGGGGACAGACCCCAGGCAGGGUCCUGUGACUGCAGCUCAGAAGCACUGCAGGCGUUCCUGUUAGGGUGCCACACCAUGUCUCUAUCACAAAGGGGAAUUGGAAAUCAGUCCAUGUGAGGCAGAGAUGAACCCACAUGUGUUAUCCUCCCCAACAAUAAAUAAACAAACAGCCCAGACAGACGGAUGCCAGUCUAUCUAGAGCUUUGUGAUAAAAUGAGACCCAGGGUCGGAUGGAGACUGCAGACAGCUCUGAGCACUGGAGCCGCCAGGAACGUUGAUGCUACACAUUGCUAAGGGGAACAUAAUUUAUAGCACAAACCCUACGGCUUCCACUAAGGUUGAGUUUUCGUCUCAUUUUCUUGCCUUUUUAUUGGCUUCACUGCACGGUUGCCAAUAGCAACAUCCACUGUAGCAAGGGGAGUUCAACACCAUUGCAAUCUGCCAUACACUGGAGCCCUGACAAUGUCAACCAUCAAUCAAGUAGCUGUUUGUAAUUGCCUCCAUCUAUUUUUCCUGUCUUGAGGUAUCUUUCCUAUUGUGGGUCAAAAUUCAGAAACUGCUGACUAAUGCCAUGGGGCCGUUCCUUGGAGCCCAUGAGGCAGUGGAAAAGGACGGCAGCACCCUCCCUGUGCAACCCUGGGGACCCCCGGGCUGAGAGGCUGAACACUUGGGCAUCUGAGAUAUUUUUAAGCCCUUUUUUUUGCUAAAUAACGCAUGAUUUUCCAAGACUGUGAGAAAAGAAGGGAAAUAUAUCUUCAGUUGAAUUGUUUGAAGUCACUGGCUUUGUGCAGAUUUGCCAGGCUGAGGUUUCAUUGUAAGAAUACUACCUUACAGAUUGCAAGCAAUUUCACAAGCAACUAAUUCAUGAGUUUGAGAGUCUGCUUUAAGAGACCUAAAUAUCUUGGUUUUUAAUAAAAUGCUUAAAUUUUAACUAAA
This is a long non-coding RNA of Suricata suricatta (meerkat), 1437 nucleotides long. RefSeq lists it as uncharacterized. Lineage: Eukaryota; Metazoa; Chordata; Mammalia; Carnivora; Herpestidae. The transcript is spliced from 2 exons. The record is from RefSeq and is a predicted model, not a curated record.